Molecule: ribosomal RNA, 478 nt
Filed under: uncultured bacterium
Lineage: Bacteria
Description: partial 16S ribosomal RNA
Rfam family: Bacterial small subunit ribosomal RNA
Source: RNAcentral
GACGAACGCUGGCGGCGUGCUUAACACAUGCAAGUCGAACGGUAAGGCCCUUCGGGGUACACGAGUGGCGAACGGGUGAGUAACACGUGGGUGAUCUGCCCUGCACUUCGGGAUAAGCCUGGGAAACUGGGUCUAAUACCGGAUAGGACCACUGCCUGCAUGGGUGGUGGUGGCAAGCUUUUGCGGUGUGGGAUGGGCCCGCGGCCUAUCAGCUUGGUGGUGGGGUGCUGGCCUACCCAGGCGACGACGGGUAGCCGGCCUGAGAGGGUGACCGGCCACACUGGGACUGAGAUACGGCCCAGACUCCUGCGGGAGGCAGCAGUGGGGAAUAUUGCACAAUGGGCGCAAGCCUGAUGCAGCGACGCCGCGUGAGGGAUGACGGCCUUCGGGUUGUAAACCUCUUUCAGCACCGACGAAGCGCAAGUGACGGUAGGUGCAGAAGAAGGACCGGCCAACUACGUGCCAGCCGCCGCGGUAA